GAAGCUGACCAGACAGUCGCCGCUUCGUCGUCGUCCUUUCGGGGAGACGGGCGGAGGGGAGGAAAGUCCGGGCUCCAUAGGGCAGGGUGCCAGGUAACGCCUGGGGGGGAAAACCACGACCAGUGCAACAGAGAGCAAACCGCCGAUGGCCCACGUAAGUGGGAUCAGGUAAGGGUGAAAGGGUGCGGUAAGAGCGCACCGCGCGGCUGGUAACAGUCCGUGGCACGGUAAACUCCACCCGGAGCAAGGCCAAAUAGGGGUUCAUAAGGUACGGCCCGUACUGAACCCGGGUAGGCUGCUUGAGCCAGUGAGCGAUUGCUGGCCUAGAUGAAUGACUGUCCACGACAGAACCCGGCUUAUCGGUCAGCUUCACUU
Molecule: RNase P RNA, 375 nt
Filed under: Salmonella enterica subsp. enterica
Lineage: Bacteria; Pseudomonadati; Pseudomonadota; Gammaproteobacteria; Enterobacterales; Enterobacteriaceae
Also listed under: 2 other names
Description: RNase P RNA component class A
Rfam family: Bacterial RNase P class A
About the family: Ribonuclease P (RNase P) is a ubiquitous endoribonuclease, found in archaea, bacteria and eukarya as well as chloroplasts and mitochondria. Its best characterised activity is the generation of mature 5'-ends of tRNAs by cleaving the 5'-leader elements of precursor-tRNAs.
Source: RNAcentral